RNAcentral lists this ribosomal RNA (824 nucleotides) under Bacillus subtilis. RNAcentral's name for it is "bacterial SSU rRNA". It matches the Rfam family "Bacterial small subunit ribosomal RNA", at positions 72 to 876 of the family's 1533-position model. Lineage: Bacteria; Bacillati; Bacillota; Bacilli; Caryophanales; Bacillaceae. The record is from RNAcentral.
AUGGGAGCUUGCUCCCUGAUGUUAGCGGCGGACGGGUGAGUAACACGUGGGUAACCUGCCUGUAAGACUGGGAUAACUCCGGGAAACCGGGGCUAAUACCGGAUGGUUGUUUGAACCGCAUGGUUCAAACAUAAAAGGUGGCUUCGGCUACCACUUACAGAUGGACCCGCGGCGCAUUAGCUAGUUGGUGAGGUAACGGCUCACCAAGGCAACGAUGCGUAGCCGACCUGAGAGGGUGAUCGGCCACACUGGGACUGAGACACGGCCCAGACUCCUACGGGAGGCAGCAGUAGGGAAUCUUCCGCAAUGGACGAAAGUCUGACGGAGCAACGCCGCGUGAGUGAUGAAGGUUUUCGGAUCGUAAAGCUCUGUUGUUAGGGAAGAACAAGUACCGUUCGAAUAGGGCGGUACCUUGACGGUACCUAACCAGAAAGCCACGGCUAACUACGUGCCAGCAGCCGCGGUAAUACGUAUGUGGCAAGCGUUGUCCGGAAUUAUUGGGCGUAAAGGGCUCGCAGGCGGUUUCUUAAGUCUGAUGUGAAAGCCCCCGGCUCAACCGGGGAGGGUCAUUGGAAACUGGGGAACUUGAGUGCAGAAGAGGAGAGUGUAAUUCCACGUGUAGCGGUGAAAUGCGUAGAGAUGUGGAGGAACACCAGUGGCGAAGGCGACUCUCUGGUCUGUAACUGACGCUGAUGAGCGAAAGCGUGCGGAGCGAACAGGAUUAGAUACCCUGGUAGUCCACGCCGUAAACGAUGAGUGCUAAGUGUUACGGGUGUUUCCGCCUCCUUAGUGCUGCAGCUAACGCAUUUAAACACUCCGCCUGG